CGUCAUCAACGGAAACGGAUGCAGAUGGAUUGCUCAGCAGCUAACAUGUGAGUUGGAUAAAUGAAUUUCAUCGGAUCACAACCCUUCCUUUACACUCCAAAAUUCAUGUCCAAACUGGAUCUGUUCUCUGAUGAUCUGCUAAAAGUGUUUACCAAAAAGGGUGGAGUGUUUAGAAAAAAGAUUCAAGAUGUGAUGCUGCCAAUGUCUCAGACCAAGCAAGAGUGCAUUCUCAAGGGGCUAUGCAUCUACCUGAAUGAAGAUGAAUAUGAUGGAGUAUUUGGAUGAUGACCCUGCAAGAACCGAAGCGGACAUAAAGAAGACCUUUUAGGGAUUCUGUGAUGUAAAGCAUGAAUUUGCUGAUGCAACAGAAGACCCCGAAGAUAUCUGCAUUGUGCUGGAAGAUGUGGAGGUGCUUUCUGGUUUAGGUAAUGUAGCAUUGGCUACAGCCAUGCUACUUGGACUAAUAUACUCUUUAAAUCUUACUCAUCCACAGGAGAUCCACUACACUUUUAAGGUGCUCCAAAAAAUGAUUCUCGAGCUGAACUUGUGUAAAUUGUCUGCCAAAGCACAGGCGCAGAAAACAAAGCUCUUCACUUAGGUGUGCUGUGU
Long non-coding RNA from Carassius gibelio (silver crucian carp), 609 nucleotides. RefSeq lists it as uncharacterized. The record is from RefSeq and is a predicted model, not a curated record. The transcript has 4 exons. NCBI's taxonomy places the organism in Eukaryota, Metazoa, Chordata, Actinopteri, Cypriniformes, Cyprinidae.